RNAcentral lists this unclassified non-coding RNA (331 nucleotides) under plant metagenome. Its description in RNAcentral is "partial contains 5.8S ribosomal RNA, internal transcribed spacer 2, and large subunit ribosomal RNA". The stretch from base 1 to 105 matches the Rfam family "5.8S ribosomal RNA", at positions 50 to 154 of the family's 154-position model. The record is from RNAcentral.
AAAAUGCGAUAAGUAAUGUGAAUUGCAGGAUUCAGUGAAUCAUCGAAUCUUUGAACGCACAUUGCGCCCGCCAGUAUUCUGGCGGGCAUGCCUGUCUGAGCGUCAUUUCAACCCUCGGGACCCCGUUCGCGGGACCCGGCGUUGGGGAUCAGCCCGAAGCCCCCCCGGGGCGGGCGGCUGGCCCCGAAAUCUAGUGGCGGUCCCCCCAGCGACCUCCUCUGCGCAGUAGUAACUCACCUCGCAGCUGGACAGCGGGAGGGCCACGCCGUAAAACCCCCAACUUCUCAAAGGUUGACCUCAGAUCAGGUAGGAAUACCCGCUGAACUUAAGC